RNAcentral lists this unclassified non-coding RNA (376 nucleotides) under uncultured bacterium. RNAcentral's name for it is "contains 16S-23S intergenic spacer region". The record is from RNAcentral.
UCCUCCUUACAGAGGCAGUUUCGUCCGAGUUCCCGACAUUACUCGCUGGCAACAGACAAUGAGGGUUGCGCUCGUUGCGGGACUUAACCCAACAUUUCACAACACGAGCUGACGACAGCCAUGCACCACCUGUGUAGCACCCUCGAAGGCGACCACGUUUCGGCGGCUCUCAGCUACAUGUCAAGCCCUGGUAAGGUUCUUCGCGUUGCAUCGAAUUAAAGAACAUGCUCCGCUGCUUGUGCGGGCCCCCGUCAAUUCUUUUGAGUUUUAGCCUUGCGGCCGUACUCCCCAGGCGGAACACUUAUCGCGUUGGCUUCGGCACGGACAGAUUCGACACCGCCCACACCUAGCACCCAUCGUUUACGGCGUGGACUAC